UACAAGGUCACCGUAUAUGUGAAUUGUGUGU
RNAcentral lists this non-coding RNA (31 nucleotides) under Homo sapiens (human). The record is from RNAcentral. Lineage: Eukaryota; Metazoa; Chordata; Mammalia; Primates; Hominidae.